AACGCACAUUGCGCCCUUUGGUAUUCCGAAGGGCAUGCCUGUUCGAGCGUCAUUAUCACCCCUCAAACCCUGGGUUGCCUUUAACCGGGCCUCCCUAAGUUUGGCGUUGGACGGUUGGUUCGAGUAAUCGAACCCCUCCCAAAGACAAUGACGGAGUCCUGUUCGACCCUCGGUACAUGGAGCACCUUUGCGGGAGCACGUGCCGGACCCCUAAAAGCGGUCGGGAGGACAUACGGUCACCACCUAUAUUUUUAACAAGGUUGACCUCGGAUCAGGUAGGGAUACCCGCUGAACUUAA
RNAcentral lists this unclassified non-coding RNA (298 nucleotides) under uncultured Capronia. RNAcentral describes it as "sequence contains ITS2". The stretch from base 1 to 52 matches the Rfam family "5.8S ribosomal RNA", at positions 103 to 154 of the family's 154-position model. The record is from RNAcentral. Lineage: Eukaryota; Fungi; Ascomycota; Eurotiomycetes; Chaetothyriales; Herpotrichiellaceae.